RNAcentral lists this ribosomal RNA (484 nucleotides) under uncultured bacterium. Its description in RNAcentral is "partial 16S ribosomal RNA". It matches the Rfam family "Bacterial small subunit ribosomal RNA", at positions 30 to 507 of the family's 1533-position model. The record is from RNAcentral.
AUUGAACGCUGGCGGCAGGCCUAACACAUGCAAGUCGAGCGGAUGAAGGGAGCUUGCUCCUGGAUUCAGCGGCGGACGGGUGAGUAAUGCCUAGGAAUCUGCCUGGUAGUGGGGGAUAACGUCCGGAAACGGGCGCUAAUACCGCAUACGUCGUGAGGGAGAAGGAGGGGGAGCUUCGGACCGCACCGUAGCAGAGGGGCCUAGGUGGGAUUAGCUAGUUGGUGGGGUAAAGGCCUACAAAGGCGACGAUCCGUAACUGGCCUGAGAGGAUGAUCGGUCACACUGGAACGGGGCCACGGUCCAGGCUCCUACGGGAGGCAGCAGUGGGGAAUGUUGGACAAUGGGCGAAAGCCUGUUCCAGCCAUGCCGCGUGUGUGAAGAAGGUCUUCGGAUUGUAAUGCACUUUAAGUUGGGAGGAAGGGCAGUAAGUUAAUACCUUGCUGUUUUGACGUUACCAACAGAAUAAGCACCGGCUAACUUCGUG